Ictalurus punctatus (channel catfish) is the source of this 1754-nucleotide long non-coding RNA. The record is from Ensembl. NCBI's taxonomy places the organism in Eukaryota, Metazoa, Chordata, Actinopteri, Siluriformes, Ictaluridae.
UUUCUUUGGAGUGUUUGGUUUCCAAAGUGUUUGGUAUGUAUAUAUUGUAACCUGCUAACGAAUUCUUUCUGUUCAAAUGUGAAAUAGAAGCUGUAUAUACAGUAACAUGGUUUAGUAGUGUUGUGUUCACUCUCAGAAAUAAAGGUACCAUAAUUAUUCUGAAAUGUACACAUGUACCCAUGAAAGAUACAAAAGAUGUCCCCUUGAUGGUACCAGGCAACAAUGAACAGUGCAGCUAUUUUAAAAAAAAGCUGAUGUGUGUGGCAUGUGUGAUGUUUUUCACAGAGUGUCACCAACUGUUUCUUCACCUCAAUGUGCAGAUAAAGAGAAGAAGAAAAAACGCUGAGACUUUGCUGGUUCUACCUUGUCCUCUUUUACCACAAACUCCAUGCCGAACCUGGCCAUCACACACACUCGGCCGUCUUUCUUCAGCAUGUAUGUUUCUAUCAGAGGCGUGCUCUCUUUGGGCUGGAGGGUUGGUUUCUUGGACAUGUUGUGCUGAGACUUUGUAUCCUGGUUCAGAAACACCUCAGAGCUCAAAGAGUCAUUAACUUCAGAUGACACACUGUUUCCUGUAGACAAGGAACCACAAACUGAAAACACAGAUCGAGAUGGCUUUCGCUUUUCAGUUCUCUCAGCACAAGAGGGGUUUAUACACCAAAUAAUGUGGAGAAGUUUGUUUUAUUGGUGGCAGUAACAUAAAGAGUAAAAUAUGUAACUCAACUAGUUCACAACCAAGUUCAUCAGGGUUCAUAUCUUUUACAGAUUUUGUGUUUUGUUUUGUUUUUGAAUUUAUUUGAUACAUGAUGUUUGAAUAAUGCACAGUGAGACAAAAUGAAUGGUCAGAAUUCCAGUAGGUCAGAAUUUAAACCACCGCACUGUUGAAUUCUCACUGCUAAUCAGAAGGUGUUUAUUGUAUGUGGUUUACAUUAAUGCACUCGUUCUAAUAUAUUAUAAUUUCUAUAUUUCAAAUGACAACAUUAAAGGAGUUGCAGGAAUAGCUGACAAGUACUGAUUACUCUAUGCAUGUGAAUGCAUCCUCUGUAUCCUUCACAUGUCUGGGCUAUGGAGUAGGGUGGCUAGACAGAAGGCCAUUCUCACAAAAACAUCUAAGCCCAACAAAAUCACCCUAAACCAUGCGGCAAAAUGUGUUAUGGUCCGAUAAAACCCAUACCAAAAAGUAUGUUUGGCGCAAAAAAAAGCACAUCAAGAAAAAACACCAUACCCACAGUGAAGCAUGGUAGUGGUAGCAUCAUGCCUUAGGGCUUGAACUGGGGCUUUGAUCAAGGUGGAGGGAAUCAUAAACAGCUACAAAUACCAGGUGAUUUUUAUUUUAGGCGAUUAUUUUAGUGAAAAAAAACUGUCAGGUGUCUGCUAGUAAGCUGAAGAUGAAAAGGAAUUUCAGAUUUCAGGGACCAAAAGCAUACAUCUAAAGCAGAUAAGCAUGGGUUAACCAAAACAUCAAUGUUUUUGAAUGGCCUAGCCACAGCCCAGACCUGAAUCCAACUACUGUAAAAAUCUGUGUUGUGACCUGAAUCAGUCUGUGUACAGGAGAUGCCUCACAAUUUGAUGGCUCUAGAAUGUUUUUGCAAAAAAAAAAAAAAAAGCGUGAGAAAGCAUUGCCAAGUCAAGAUGUGCCAUGCUGAUAGACUCAUACCCCAAAAGACUGAGUGGUGUAAUAAAAUCAAAAAGGUGCUUCGACAAAGUAUUCGUUUAGGGGUCUGCACAAUUAUGCAACUUUCUUAUUGUAAUUU